RNAcentral lists this ribosomal RNA (429 nucleotides) under uncultured archaeon. RNAcentral's name for it is "bacterial SSU rRNA". It matches the Rfam family "Archaeal small subunit ribosomal RNA", at positions 474 to 903 of the family's 1478-position model. The record is from RNAcentral.
UACCAGCCCCCUGAGUGGUAGGGACGAUUAUUUGGCUUAAAGCGUCCGUAGCCGGCUUAGUGAGUCUCCUGUUAAAUCCAAUGAUUCAAUCAUUGAACUGCAAGAGAUACUACUAUGCUAGAGGACGGGAGAGGUCGACGGUAGUCCAAGGGUAGGGGUGAAAUCCUAUAAUCCUUGGAGGACCACCAGUGGCGAAGGCGGUCGACUAGAACGUGCCUGACGGUGAGGGACGAAAGCUGGGGGAGCGAACCGGAUUAGAUACCCGGGUAGUCCCAGCUGUAAACGAUGCGGGCUAGGUGUAGGGGCAGCUACGAGCUGCUCCUGUGCCGCAGAGAAAUUGUUAAGCCCGCCGCCUGGGGAGUACGAUCGCAAGAUUGAAACUUAAAGGAAUUGGCGGGGGAGCACCACAAGGGGUGAAGGCUGCGGUUU